RNAcentral lists this ribosomal RNA (484 nucleotides) under uncultured bacterium. RNAcentral's name for it is "partial 16S ribosomal RNA". It matches the Rfam family "Bacterial small subunit ribosomal RNA", at positions 28 to 523 of the family's 1533-position model. The record is from RNAcentral.
GACGAACGCUGGCGGCGUGCUUAACACAUGCAAGUCGAACGAUGAAGCCGGAGCUUGCUCUGGUGAAUUAGUGGCGAACGGGUGAGUAACACGUGAGUAACCUGCCCUUGACUCUGGGAUAACUGCGGGAAACUGUAGCUAAUACCGGAUACGACCCUCGGAGGCAUCUCCUGGGGGUGGAAAGAAUUUCGGUCAAGGAUGGACUGGCGGCCUAUCAGCUAGUUGGGGAGGUAAAGGCUCACCAAGGCGACCACGGGUAGCCGGCCUGGGAGGGUGACCGGCCACACUGGGACUGAGACACGGCCCAGACUCCUACGGGAGGCAGCAGUGGGGAAUAUUGCACAAUGGGCGCAAGCCUGAUGCAGCAACGCCGGGUGAGGGAUGACGGCCUUCGGGUUGUAAACCUCUUUUAGCAGGGAAGAAGCGAAAGUGACGGUACCUGCAGAAAAAGCACCGGCUAACUACGUGCCAGCCGCCGCGGUAA